GCUAUGGUAAUUCAGUUGGUAGAAUGUUUGACUCAUAACCCAGGUGUAGCAGGUUUGAUACCUGACUAGCCUUGCC
This is a non-coding RNA of Potamilus streckersoni, 76 nucleotides long. Lineage: Eukaryota; Metazoa; Mollusca; Bivalvia; Unionida; Unionidae. The record is from the annotation of a GenBank genome assembly.